Molecule: long non-coding RNA, 446 nt
Filed under: Pan paniscus (pygmy chimpanzee)
Lineage: Eukaryota; Metazoa; Chordata; Mammalia; Primates; Hominidae
Description: lncRNA (ENSPPAG00000044772.1)
Source: RNAcentral
AGAAAAGCCACCCUGGGAGCAAAGCAAGUUAGGGUUGUAAGAGACAUUUCUGAGAUUAAAGCAGCCAGAUCUAUGAUGGGGUGGGUACGGGUGGUUAAAGAGAAAGAGAAUGUGAGAAUGACUCAUGAGACUAUUAAACUGACUUAACUGAAAUUUUAAAAAAGGGGGAAAUACCAACUACGAUGCACCCCCCCACCACACCAUGUUUUAAUGCUACUCAAGGUCUAUGGCUGCGAAAGGCCACUUGUUUUUCUUCAGUUAAUGCUGAGACUGUUUGUCUGCCAGAGACCCUCCAAAACUACAAGAAAAUAAUUUCAAGGAAAUGCCACAUGGAGAGGACAUGCAGGACAAGUGAUGAGAAUAAUCUUGUUCUGAAAAACCCUUGUUCUGAAGACAAGCUUGCUAACAGCUUGGAAACCUGGUUUCCAAACAGCACCUCUGACUGA